UACGUAGGGUGCGAGCGUUAAUCGGAAUUACUGGGCGUAAAGCGUGCGCAGGCGGUUUUGUAAGCCAGAUGUGAAAUCCCCGGGCUUAACCUGGGAAUGGCAUUUGGGACUGCAAGGCUGGAGUGUGGCAGAGGAGACUGGAAUUCCCGGUGUAGCAGUGAAAUGCGUAGAUAUCGAGAGGAACACCUGCGGCGAAGGCGGGUUGCUGGGCUGACACUGACGCUGAGGCGCGAAAGCGUGGGGAGCAAACAGG
RNAcentral lists this ribosomal RNA (253 nucleotides) under uncultured bacterium. Its description in RNAcentral is "partial 16S ribosomal RNA". It matches the Rfam family "Bacterial small subunit ribosomal RNA", at positions 524 to 776 of the family's 1533-position model. The record is from RNAcentral.